AAUAGAUACCCCGGUAGUCCGCACCGUAAACGAUGGACACUCGGCGUUCGGAGAGUUAACCCUCUGAGUGCCAAAGUUCACACACUAAGUGUCCCGCCUGGGAAGUACGGUCGCAAGACUAAAACUCAAAGGAAUUGACGGGGGCCCGCACAAGCGGUGGAGUAUGUGGUUUAAUUCGAAGCAACGCGCAGAACCUUACCUGGCCUUGACAUCGCGAGACCGUCUCAGAGAUGAGGCUUUCCCUUCGGGGACUCGUAGACAGGUGCUGCAUGGCUGUCGUCAGCUCGUGUUGUGAAUGUUCGGUUAAGUCCGGCAACGAGCGCAACCCCUGUCCUUAGUUACCAGCCUUAAGUGGGGGUACUCUAGGGAGACUGCCGGUGUUAAACCGGAGGAAGGCGGGGAUGACGUCAAGUCCUCAUGGCCCUUACGGCCAGGGCUACACACGUACUACAAUGGUGAAAACAAAGGGUCGCAAGACCGCGAGGUCAAGCUAAUCUCAAAACCAUCAUCUCAGUCCGGAUUGAAGUCUGCAACUCGACUUCAUGAAGUUGG
Molecule: ribosomal RNA, 552 nt
Filed under: uncultured bacterium
Lineage: Bacteria
Description: bacterial SSU rRNA
Rfam family: Bacterial small subunit ribosomal RNA
Source: RNAcentral